This is a long non-coding RNA of Equus asinus (donkey), 1692 nucleotides long. NCBI's taxonomy places the organism in Eukaryota, Metazoa, Chordata, Mammalia, Perissodactyla, Equidae. The record is from Ensembl.
AACCCCUAGAAUGGCCCCGCCCACUGCAGCCCCGCCCCCCACACUGGGGGCCGCCUCUCAUCCUUCUAGCGUGGCUUUUAAAUAAGCUGAACUUCUUUUGGCUGAGCCCGUGCUAAUCUGUGAGCUUCCCCAGAGUGGGAUCUAACUGUGACCAUGUCUCAAUCACCCUCGUCCCGCUGAUGGAGGACACUUGUCAAUAUUGGUUCAAUUGUGACAUCAUGGAAGGGAGUGAAGAAGGAUGUGAGAUAGAAAGUGUAUCAGAAAAGGAGUGGAGAUUUCUGCUGCUAUCACUAACACUGUGUGUCCCCAGGGAGGUCUCUGUCCGUCUGUGGGUCUCAGUUCCCCUUCUGGGAAAUGAAGAUGGACCAGGAGACUUCUAAUCUGAUGCCCCUUUCAGCCUACCGUUCUCCAACUGAUAGGGGUUCAUGGAAUAAGCAGUUUGGUUUCGUCGGAAAGAGAAUUAAUAAGACUCCAGAGAUCGGCUUUCGCAAAUGGGGUCCAAUAGAUGUUUCCAACAGUGGUGGCUUGUGAUUCUCUGCGUUUUUUCUGGGUGCAGUCCCUCCGCUGCCCCGACUUUUCCUUGAAUCCUUCGCAGACAGUGCGUGGCCUUCCUGUGUCUUGUGACAUGCAUGACUCCCAGGCUGUAAGCACCUGUGAAUCUUUACCAAGGGCCUGGCACCAGGUCUGGCACGUGGCAGGUGCUCAAGACAUGCUUGUCAGGGAAGAGUGCCUUUUCCAGGUGAGGAAACUGAGGCACAAAGAGGUCUGAGAGGAAGCAGUCAUCUUGAAAACGGUCCAGCUGCUGUGAUGUUGCUGCCCAACCUUCCCGGGAAGAGGGGGCACUGUCUAUGUCUGUCUAUUGGACGGGCCGUCUUCUUACCUGUACCCAAACCACAGGCUGAACGACAUCAGGGAGGAGCAUUGUUUUCCUCCAGGCGGCUUUCAGGAGAGAAGACAGAACUUUCCUCCUUACUUAGGAAGCUCAUCCGCAUUCUGCCUCAGGUCAUCUUAACCAAAGGCUUCUGGCUAAAGGCAGCUGUCUGGGAGCCCCAGAGCCCGGCUUCUGGAUCCAGCUCUUGUGCAAACAUGCUUUGUGACUCAGAGCAGUGCCUGACCCUCUGUUUCCUCGGCAGUAAACCAGAAGGCUGGAGGGGAGCAGUGCUUCCCAAGCACGUCGUCGUCUGAGCAUGCGGUUAGGAGGCAUCUGCUUCAGGAGGUCCGGGGCGGGGCCAGAGAGCCUGCAUUUCUAACAGGCUCCCAGGUGAUGCUAUUCCUCCUGCCAGUCUUCUGACCAACUUUGAGUAGCAAGAACCUAGGGGGUCUUCUGAGGUCACUUCUUGUUCGGAAGGGCCAGACCUUGAGCCCUGGCAGCAGGCACAAGGAGAAGGACAAAUAAAGAGUUGCCCAGAUUUGGGCCAACUAGCGCAGUAUAGAAUAUGAAAUGAUUCCGAGGGGUCCUUUCAGCCAACACUUAGAAUAAUCAUCAUCAUCCUCAACAAACACUUGUCCAGUGCUUUUGGCUGUCCAGAGCAGCUGUCACAUCCUUGAACCCCAUUGACCCCUGCAUGCACACUGGCGGGAGAGGAGGACAUGGCUGGGGAAACUAUUCAGUCCCAGCCAGAGGAUCUGGGCAGGAGCGCAGCAGCCCCCUAAACUCUUGUUCCCCCGUGGCCCUUUGAUUUUCUGAGCCAG